AGUGAACGCUGGCGGUAGGCCUAACACAUGCAAGUCGAACGGCAGCACAGUAAGAGCUUGCUCUUACGGGUGGCGAGUGGCGGACGGGUGAGGAAUACAUCGGAAUCUACUUUUUCGUGGGGGAUAACGUAGGGAAACUUACGCUAAUACCGCAUACGACCUACGGGUGAAAGCAGGGGAUCUUCGGACCUUGCGCGAUUGAAUGAGCCGAUGUCGGAUUAGCUAGUUGGCGGGGUAAAGGCCCAGCAAGGCGACGAUCCGUAGCUGGUCUGAGAGGAUGAUCAGCCACACUGGAACUGAGAGACGGUCCAGACUCCUACGGGAGGCAGCAGUGGGGAAUAUUGGACAAUGGGCGCAAGCCUGAUCCAGCCAUACCGCGUGGGUGAAGAAGGCCUUCGGGUUGUAAAGCCCUUUUGUUGGGAAAGAAAAGCAGCAGGUUAAUACCCCGCUGUUCUGACGGUACCCAAAGAAUAAGCACCGGCUAACUUCGUG
This 492-nucleotide ribosomal RNA is filed under the name uncultured bacterium. RNAcentral describes it as "partial 16S ribosomal RNA". It matches the Rfam family "Bacterial small subunit ribosomal RNA", at positions 29 to 507 of the family's 1533-position model. The record is from RNAcentral.